AACAAAUUAAAAUAAAGGCUAAUAAUUAUUAGUCAUGUUGCUAUAUUAAUUAUUGUAACUUACAAAGUGGGGAAGUGAAAUUGUAACAGUACUAUUGAGAGAAAUGAUCCCUGAGACUACAACAAUUGAAAUUUAAUACAGAGAAAUUAACAAAGAGAGAGAUGGAAGAUAUAACAAAAUGAAUGGAAAGAGAGAGUGCAUGCACUAUCAGAGAGCAAGAGUCUGGCGCUCUGGGUCCGAAACACGAGCCUCAUAGAACCUGGCGAUGAAUGCUGAGGCUCUACCGUCAAUCCCAGGAUCUGCAAUCCAACGUCUCCCAUCUUCGUCGCUGGGACAUAUUCUUCUAACAUAGAAACCAUCUUCGCUAAUAUCAUCGCUGCCAUGAGAACAACAGGUCUUGAAGAUGUUAAAGAUAGAGAAGCAAGAAGAUUUCCUCUGCCUGCCGUUGCCUCCCAUAUGAUUGUUCGCUUCUUCCUGAUGAAUUAGAUAUAUAUUUUAGUAAUGUUGGAUAUUAGAAGUUAUGAGGUGCAAGGAGCAACAAAUAUCUUCCUUCAAUUUAUAGUGGAAAGGAGAUCACUUAUUCAUAUAACGUCUGACAUAUUUUAAUAAUUGCUGGCUGUAUUCUAUAUAUGUUUAUGUAGAGCACUAUUAAACUAGAUUCUUUGAAAAGACAGUUACGAAUACGACGAUAUGAUUGUAAAACUAAAACCAA
Molecule: long non-coding RNA, 712 nt
Filed under: Manihot esculenta (cassava)
Lineage: Eukaryota; Viridiplantae; Streptophyta; Magnoliopsida; Malpighiales; Euphorbiaceae
Description: long non-coding RNA (MESC_LNC012665)
Source: RNAcentral